Etheostoma spectabile (orangethroat darter) is the source of this 128-nucleotide long non-coding RNA. RefSeq lists it as uncharacterized. NCBI's taxonomy places the organism in Eukaryota, Metazoa, Chordata, Actinopteri, Perciformes, Percidae. The record is from RefSeq and is a predicted model, not a curated record. The transcript has 3 exons.
ACAGUGUGUUCUGGGGACAGGCAGCUUGCGGAUUGUGAGUAGAUGUUUGCUGUAUGUGACAAAAAAUGGUGUAGCCCAAAAAACGUGUGACAUCGCGUAGAUCACCUUUCACAGUAGUUUUUAUUUCU